CAGAAAAACGCACUCACUUGUCAAAAUUUCUUAUGAAUUGUUUAUAGAAUUCUUUUCCGCCCAAGUCCAACCUCUCCCCCCUCUCUCUCUCUCUCACUAAGCUACUGUAGUCUAUCUCUCUCUAAACCUCCAUCCAGAUCGUCGGUCAAAAUCUCCUUUCAAGUCCGGAAGGAGUGGCAGUUCAAGCACCAUCUCGCUAAGGAAGGCAAUGGUGACACAAAUCCGGUCAAGAUCUCCUUCAAAAUCUGGCACCCCUUUUAUUUUUGAUUUUAAUAUUUAUUUUAUUUACUACAAUAUAUAUGCCUGCAUAUCAAAAAGAAACAAAUCUAGAAAAACCAUGGGUCCUUGACAUAUGCAUUCUUGGAGGGAUUAACACGGGAUUUAAUGUUAGCCUGGAGGUUUAAAUUUGAGAAAUUGAACUUUUAUAGUUUCAAUGUUAUAUAUUAGAAAUUGGACAAUGCAGUCGGAUAAUGAGAACUUUCCAGGUUGCUAAGCAAACUUCGAAGAAAGCGGGGGAUAGUGCACUUUACUGAAAAUGAACAAAUUAACAUCUUUGUUUCUAACUGUAGCUAGAAUAGCUGUGAAAGGAGUCAAGCAAUGAAACAUCCAAUUACAAAACAAAAAUUUUAUUUUGACGUUCGGCUGGUUCUAUUGCACUCUUCAUUAGAUUUGUUCGAUGGAAGAAAGGAAUAAAGGAAUUUGCCAUAAUUGCAAACAGCCAGGCGCUACUUCCUGUCGGAAUGCUCCAGAAAGAAAAGAAGCCCAAAAUGUGGUGAGAGAUUAUUGAAAUGGAUGGAGGUGGAAAAGAAUAGUGAAAACAAGGGGCAGCCAUUUCAUUGAUGUACUCACUAUUGUUGGCAUUUCAAUGGAUGGACUUGUCAAGCAUGUUAAAAAAUUUGAUCAUAGUUGCCUAGAAAAAGGGCAUGGAGAUUUCCCUCAACAUAACUAUUCGCAAGGGAAAAUGAGAUUCGAAUGAUGAGGAGAAAGGAAAGAAAGGUGUCAAUUAGAUAUAGCCUGGAACUUUGAUGUAAUGGGAUGAUGUUAAUGGUUUCUCUUAGUAUUUGAAUGCAAUUGCUUCUUGAGUUUAAUGUUAGUGGAUUUUUCUAUGUAUGUUUUAUUGUGCUACAAGGUGAACUUCAAUUUCCUUGGCGCUGCAGAAAAAAUUCAGUUUUUGGGUAGAUUACAUGUACAUGUUUACUUCCAUGUGAUCAUUGAUGUGCG
RNAcentral lists this long non-coding RNA (1221 nucleotides) under Olea europaea subsp. europaea. The record is from RNAcentral. Lineage: Eukaryota; Viridiplantae; Streptophyta; Magnoliopsida; Lamiales; Oleaceae.